UGCAAUGCCAGUAUACCAGGACAUGCAGAAAUAGUUGAACUACUACUGGAGCAUCCUGUGGCUAAUGUUGAUCACACUGAUAAGGAUGAUGAUACACCACUUAUUAUGGCUUGUAUAGGAGGACAUAAAGAAGUAGUUGAGCUACUAAUAAAGUAUAAAGCUGAUGUCAAUCACACUAAUAAACAAGAACAUACACCACUUGUUUUAGCCUGUAUGGGAGGGCAUGCAGAAAUAAUUGAACUACUAAAGGAGAUUGGUAAAGUUGAUAUCAAUGUUACUGAUAAA
Amphimedon queenslandica is the source of this 285-nucleotide long non-coding RNA. RefSeq lists it as uncharacterized. Lineage: Eukaryota; Metazoa; Porifera; Demospongiae; Haplosclerida; Niphatidae. The record is from RefSeq and is a predicted model, not a curated record. The transcript has 3 exons.